RNAcentral lists this ribosomal RNA (253 nucleotides) under uncultured bacterium. RNAcentral's name for it is "partial 16S ribosomal RNA". It matches the Rfam family "Bacterial small subunit ribosomal RNA", at positions 524 to 776 of the family's 1533-position model. The record is from RNAcentral.
UACGUAGGGUGCGAGCGUUGUCCGGAAUUAUUGGGCGUAAAGGGCGCGUAGGCGGCUUUGCAAGUGACGGGUGAAAUCCCUCGGCUUAACCGAGGAACUGCCUGUCAAACUGCAUGGCUUGAGACCGGGAGAGGUGAGUGGAAUUCCCAGUGUAGCGGUGAAAUGCGUAGAUAUUGGGAGGAACACCAGUGGCGAAGGCGGCUCACUGGACCGGUACUGACGCUGAUGCGCGAAAGCGUGGGGAGCAAACAGG